Homo sapiens (human) is the source of this 2605-nucleotide long non-coding RNA. RefSeq lists it as uncharacterized. The record is from RefSeq and is a predicted model, not a curated record. The transcript has 3 exons. NCBI's taxonomy places the organism in Eukaryota, Metazoa, Chordata, Mammalia, Primates, Hominidae.
CCCCUCUAUACCGUUUGUCUCUGCCGUGUUGCCUGCCAGAAGCAAUGUCUGAUGCCUCCACUUGGCAGCCACAGGCUGUGAGGUCAUCUUUUCACCACUCGCUGUUCCUUCAGCAUUUAAGCUCUCUGGCAGUGACUCAAUGUUUACAAUCGCAUUAACCUGUGAGGAACGCCGUGGCUGUGUCGAAGAACAAGGCCCCUGCUGGCACCAAGGUCACGCCUUCCAAUGGAAGGGGAAGCAGUGACAAAGGUGAAAAUCAUGGCGGUAACAGAAGUCAUUUACAGUGCGGAGUCUCCAACCCACAAUCACUGGGCAUCCCAUGGCUUUAAGACAAGAAAACUGAGGCUGAAACAGGUCAUGGCUUAUGCCAAGUCUGGCUGAUGCAGAGAAUGAGGCUGAGGCUCCAUGGUCCACGAGCAGCCUGUCCUCAAGAGCAUAGACAAUUUUGCUGAGCACAUCUGACAUAUGACAGGGUGAUGGAGAGGAGCUGGAAGGACAUUUCCUGGGCACGCCUGAGACAUUCCCCAAAUGAAAAGGAGAAAAUUGAAUCCAGAGACACUGAACAAAUGGGAAAAGAAGGAACGACCAUGCCCCUGUCUGACAGGCUGCCCGCCUGGGGAUGGCAACGGGAGAAAGCAGAUGGCUGCGCUGGCACACAGCAGCUGGCUGGAGCAGUACAAAUUGAGCACCCUUGGUGAAUAUCAUUAGGGUAAGUGGUGCACUAAAACACCUAGAGGAAGAACAAGCAAGCAGAACACACACACACACACACACACACAGACACACACACACACACACACACAUGCAUUUUUAAAUUUUCAGUUUAUUCUUUCAAUUUCCCUUCACUACAAGGUAGGCUCCAUGAAGACAGGGCCUUUGUCUGUCUUAAUAAUUAUUAGUUGGAUACAUGAAAAGAUGAAUGAAUUAAUUAUUAAGCAUCUCCCAUAACAGACAUAGUGCUAAGCAUAGAGGAUGGUUUCUGCAUCAGGAGGAAUCACAAGGGGAAAUAAAUAAGACCUUCAACUACCAAGUGGUGUGUUUAGUGUUAUGAAGGAGCUGAAAGGGUCCCAGAAGAAGCUAGGCUUUGGGGGUCAGGAGGUCUCAAGAAACGCACCAGGUGGUGGUUGAAGAUUAGCUCAGGUAUUACAAGAAAAGCCUAAAUGGAUCAGAAGUAGAAGACGGAGAACUGAGAGAAUAGCAUGUGCUAAAGCCAGAAACAAGAGGGGGCUAGAGGAACUCCAAGCAGCACCAUGUCAUGUGGAAGGGACAUAGCCUUUUGAAUUAGACAGACCCAAGUUCAAAUUCUAACGCUGCUCCUUACUACCUGAGUAUUUUUGAACAAUUUACUCUGCUAGACUGAUCUUUGGUUUUAAAAAUCGGUAACAUAGGAAAAAUAUUGCCAGCAUUUCAGGUUCUUCCAAGGAUUACAUGAGAUCGUGUUUUCUAUAGAGGAUGACAUGGUUGAGAUCAGGAAUUGCUGGCUGCUACUCUAGUGUGGAAUCGGGGAAAGGUGGCCUGAACCAGCAGGCAGGGGUCAAUUCAUCUGUGGCUUGAGGGUCCCAGGAGAAUUUUGUACUUUGACCAGGAGGCAUGAGGAGUAGUUGCAGGGUUUUAAAUAAAGGGAUUAUGAGAGUGCAGGCAAUGAGAGUUUUUAGUAGUCACUCACAAUAAUCCUGGAAGGAAAUAAAGGUCUCUCCAAGGAAGAUGCAAUGGGAAUGAAGAGGAGAGGAUGCACAUAGGAUACACAGGAGGAAGAACUGAUAGGACUUUAUUACUUAUGGGUCCUAUGAAAGGAAGAGACAUCUAGAACUAUUUCUACUCAUACUUCUUAGUAAGCUCUUCAGAUGAGAGUCAGAACCAAACUCUUUUUUAACAGCGGGCAAUAAAAUAAGUACAGGAUCCAGAGUAAAGGUUUACAAUGUUUUAUAGAAAGAUAUUUUAAUUUGAAUUUUAUGAAAGUAUCAAUCUGCAAUAGAUUCCUCAUUUUAGUUGAAGAACCAUUGGUUUACAACAGUGCUGUCCAAUGCAAGCCACGUAUGUAAUAGGUGACAUUUAUGUUAAUAUUAUUUUUUAUUUAACCUUAUAUAUCCAAAGUAUUUUCAUUUUGUGAUAGUUAAUAUUGAGUGUCAACUUGAUUGGAUUGAAGGAUGCAAAGUAUUGUUCCUGGGUGUGUCUGUGAGGGUGUUGCCAAAGGAGAUGAACAUUUGAGUCAGUGGGCUGGGAGAGGCAGAUCCACCUUCAACUGGGUAGGCACAAUAUAAUCAGCUGCCAGUGCAGUAGGAUAAAAGCAGGCAGAAGAACGUGGAAAGACCAGACUGACUGAAUCUUCCAGCCUUCAUCUAUCUCACAUGCUGGAUGCUUCCUGCCCUUGAACAUCAGACUCCAAGUUCUUCAGUUUUUGGACUCUUGGACUUACACAAGUGGUUUGCCAGAGGCUCUCAGGCCUUCGGCUGCAGACUGAAGCCUGCACUGUUGGCUUCCCUACUUUCGAGGUUUUGGGACUCAGACUGGCUUCCUUGCUCCUCAGCUUGCAGAAGCCUAUUGUGGGAUUUCACCUUGUGACCAUGUGAGUCAAUAACCCUUAAUAAACUCCAUUUCAUAUGUA